GAUGAACGCUGGCGGCGUGCCUAAUACAUGCAAGUCGAGCGAACAGAUGAGGAGCUUGCUCCUCUGACGUUAGCGGCGGACGGGUGAGUAACACGUGGAUAUCCUACCUAUAAGACUGGGAUAACUUCGGGAAACCGGAGCUAAUACCGGAUAAUAUAUUGAACCGCAUGGUUCAAUAGUGAAAGACGGUUUUGCUGUCACUUAUAGAUGGAUCCGCGCCGCAUUAGCUAGUUGGUAAGGUAACGGCUUACCAAGGCAACGAUGCGUAGCCGACCUGAGAGGGUGAUCGGCCACACUGGAACUGAGACACGGUCCAGACUCCUACGGGAGGCAGCAGUAGGGAAUCGUCCGCAAUGGGCGAAAGCCUGACGGAGCAACGCCGCGUGAGUGAUGAAGGUCUUCGGAUCGUAAAACUCUGUUAUUAGGGAAGAACAAAUGUGUAAGUAACUAUGCACGUCUUGACGGUACCUAAUCAGAAAGCCACGGCUAACUACGUG
RNAcentral lists this ribosomal RNA (497 nucleotides) under uncultured bacterium. Its description in RNAcentral is "partial 16S ribosomal RNA". It matches the Rfam family "Bacterial small subunit ribosomal RNA", at positions 28 to 507 of the family's 1533-position model. The record is from RNAcentral.